Molecule: microRNA precursor, 86 nt
Filed under: macacine gammaherpesvirus 12
Lineage: Duplodnaviria; Heunggongvirae; Peploviricota; Herviviricetes; Herpesvirales; Orthoherpesviridae
Description: miRc-N7
Source: RNAcentral
UUGUUGCGCUGCAGUAGGGAACCAAAGACAAUUUCCGUGUUAUUAAACAGGAUUUCGUUUUUGGAUUCUCUAAUGUAUCGCAUCAA